AGGUGGCUAGAAAAUGCCACACUCCGGGAACAAUAUCCGGCUCUAUACAACAUUGUGCGCCACAGGGGUGACACUAUCGCCAUGGUAAUGGAAUCAUUUCCACCAAAUAUGACGUUUAGAAGAGAUUUAAUUGGACCCAGACUCCAAUCGUGGAACAUCCUGCUCCAGCGGUUGUCCACGGUGCAAUUGUCACAUGGCUCUGAUGUAUUCGGAUGAAACCUUCAUGGGAAUGAAAAAUUCUGUGGAGUCUAUGUAUAG
This 258-nucleotide ribosomal RNA is filed under the name Triticum aestivum (bread wheat). RNAcentral's name for it is "partial small subunit ribosomal RNA". The record is from RNAcentral. Lineage: Eukaryota; Viridiplantae; Streptophyta; Magnoliopsida; Poales; Poaceae.